GAGAUCCGGGAUAACACCUGGAAACAGAUGCUAAUACCGGAUAACAACAGAUGAUGCCUAUCAACUGUUUAAAAGAUGGUUCUGCUAUCACUCUCGGAUGGACCUGCGGUGCAUUAGCUAGUUGGUAGGGUAACGGCCUACCAAGGCGAUGAUGCAUAGCCGAGUUGAGAGACUGAUCGGCCACAUUGGGACUGAGACACGGCCCAAACUCCUACGGGAGGCAGCAGUC
This 229-nucleotide ribosomal RNA is filed under the name uncultured Lactobacillus sp. Its description in RNAcentral is "partial 16S ribosomal RNA". It matches the Rfam family "Bacterial small subunit ribosomal RNA", at positions 134 to 355 of the family's 1533-position model. The record is from RNAcentral. Lineage: Bacteria; Bacillati; Bacillota; Bacilli; Lactobacillales; Lactobacillaceae.